RNAcentral lists this ribosomal RNA (253 nucleotides) under uncultured bacterium. RNAcentral describes it as "partial 16S ribosomal RNA". It matches the Rfam family "Bacterial small subunit ribosomal RNA", at positions 524 to 776 of the family's 1533-position model. The record is from RNAcentral.
UACAGAGGUCCCAAGCGUUGUUCGGAUUCAUUGGGCGUAAAGGGUGCGUAGGCGGCGCGGUAAGUCGGGUGUGAAAUCUCGGAGCUUAACUCCGAAACUGCAUUCGAUACUGCCGUGCUUGAGGACUGGAGAGGAGACUGGAAUUUACGGUGUAGCGGUGAAAUGCGUAGAUAUCGUAAGGAAGACCAGUGGCGAAGGCGGGUCUCUGGACAGUUCCUGACGCUGAUGCGCGAAAGCCAGGGGAGCGAACGGG